CAGCAGCCGCGGGAAAACAGAGGGUGCGAGCGUUAAUCGGAUUUACUGGGCGUAAAGCGUGCGUAGGCGGCUUCUUAAGUCGGAUGUGAAAUCCCUGAGCUUAACUUAGGAAUUGCAUUCGAUACUGGGAAGCUAGAGUGUGGGAGAGGAUGGUAGAAUUCCAGGUGUAGCGGUGAAAUGCGUAGAGAUCUGGAGGAAUACCGAUGGCGAAGGCAGCCAUCUGGCCUAACACUGACGCUGAGGUACGAAAGCAUGGGGAGCAAACAGGAUUAGAUACCCCUGUAGUCCCUGUCUCUUAUAC
RNAcentral lists this ribosomal RNA (301 nucleotides) under uncultured bacterium. RNAcentral describes it as "partial 16S ribosomal RNA". It matches the Rfam family "Bacterial small subunit ribosomal RNA", at positions 509 to 807 of the family's 1533-position model. The record is from RNAcentral.